This 492-nucleotide ribosomal RNA is filed under the name uncultured bacterium. RNAcentral describes it as "partial 16S ribosomal RNA". It matches the Rfam family "Bacterial small subunit ribosomal RNA", at positions 29 to 507 of the family's 1533-position model. The record is from RNAcentral.
AGUGAACGCUGGCGGUAGGCCUAACACAUGCAAGUCGAACGGCAGCACAGUAAGAGCUUGCUCUUACGGGUGGCGAGUGGCGGACGGGUGAGGAAUACAUCGGAAUCUACUUUUUCGUGGGGGAUAACGUAGGGAAACUUACGCUAAUACCGCAUACGACCUACGGGUGAAAGCAGGGGAUCUUCGGACCUUGCGCGAUUGAAUGAGCCGAUGUCGGAUUAGCUAGUUGGCGGGGUAAAGGCCCACCAAGGCGACGAUCCGUAGCUGGUCUGAGAGGAUGAUCAGCCACACUGGAACUGAGACACGGUCCAGACUCCUACGGGAGGCAGCAGUGGGGAAUAUUGGACAAAGGGCGCAAGCCUGAUCCAGCCAUACCGCGUGGGUGAAGAAGGCCUUCGGGUUGUAAAGCCCUUUUGUUGGGAAAGAAAAGCAGCAGGUUAAUACCCCGCUGUUCUGACGGUACCCAAAGAAUAAGCUCCGGCUAACUUCGUG